This 436-nucleotide ribosomal RNA is filed under the name uncultured organism. RNAcentral describes it as "bacterial SSU rRNA". It matches the Rfam family "Bacterial small subunit ribosomal RNA", at positions 28 to 507 of the family's 1533-position model. The record is from RNAcentral.
GAUGAACGCUGGCGGCGUGCCUAAUACAUGCAAGUCGAGCGGUAACACUUCGGGUGACGAGCGGCGGACGGCAGAGUAACACGCAGGAACGUACCCCAAACUGAGGGAUAACUGCCUGAAAAGGUAGCUAAUACCGCAUGUGAUCUUCGGAUUAAAGCUUCGGCGGUUUGGGAACGGCCUGCGCAUGAUUAGCUUGUUGGUGAGGUAAAAGCUCACCAAGGCGACGAUCAUUAGCUGGUCUGAGAGGAUGAUCAGCCUGACUGGAACUGAGAACGGUCCAGACUCCUACGGGAGGCAGCAGUAGGGAAUUUUCCACAAUGGGCGAAAGCCUGAUGGAGCAACGCCGCGUGCAGGAUGAAUGCCUUCGGGUUGUAAACUGCUUUUAUCUGUGACGAUUUUGACGGUAGCAGAUGAAUAAGGAUCGGCUAACUCCGUG